AUGAAGCCUCUAUUCGGUGAGAGGAAAUGGACUGUAGUUCCAUAUGGCUCCCCCGGCUGUCAGCUUCUGCUUACCUGUGUGAAUAGAAGGGAACAGAGUGCUGGGCCACGAGCUGAAGAUACCUUUCCUGGCCCUCAGCUGUGCCAGCCGAAGUGGACGGACACGCUAGGAAACUGUGGGGAUCAACUUCCUUCUACUCAGCUUUAUACUCAGCUUCACUGAGUAUGAAUGAGACAAGCGUUUGGGGAUUUUUUUUUUCUGUAUUAAAAAAGAAAACCAGAGACAAUUAUAACCCAAUGCCUUGGUUGUAUAUUUAAAUUUAUUUCCCUUUUGACCAUUUAGUGCUGUUUAUAGAAGGUGCUUAAAACACUGAUUUACCCAUCAUUUUUCCAGCACACGGUGAGUUGCCCAGUCUUUUUUUUUUCUUUUUUUUAAUUCUUCUUCUUAAAGCAGUUCUGGUUAUAGAGAUUCCAGCAACUCCAGUAAGUAUGCCAAGAAUGUACAGUUAUACUUUAUACUGCUAAAUUAACAGACAGGAAUAGUCACACCAAACCAGAUUCAGCUCCCAGAUGGGAAAGUGUCUCCUCUAGUCCAAAUUUUAAUGACUUUUUUAUGUGAGAAAGUUUCACCAAUAUAACAUACAGUGUGAUUUAAAACAAAUGCUGUCAUCUUUUUUAUGUUGGUGACAGGUAACUUGCAGGAAAUAUUGAUGUUUUUCUUGUUUUCAAUGACCAACUGGGCAUUGGAAAUAUCUGGACUUUUAGAUAGGUUAACUCUUCUCUUAAUAUUUUAAAUUAUUUACUUAGAAAUUACUUAGAAAAGUAGAAAUGAUAAACUAAAAAUGAACUUCUCUUAAUAUUUUGAAUAAUUUAAAAUCAUUUCUACUUUUCUAAGUACUGGUUUGAAGUGAAGAACAGGGUCUGAUUCUUAUUUGAUUUGCUAUAUAUUUAUAUGAAUGUAAUCCUAUUAGCUUUGUGGAUUUAGUUCUAAUUUACAUUCAUGUAAGUGACAGGGGAAUUGAGUCCUAGAUAACAUAACAACAAUAUCAGAAAAACUAGAUUUGAUUGUUGCAGUAUGUGGUGCUGAUGGUAUGAGAUAUUUUCACACACACAUUUCUGUCUCUGAAUCAGGAAAAGUCUGUGCAUGAGUUUAUGAAAUCUGUGGUCUUUGACAAUUUGUCUGCGCCAACUGGAAUAUUGCAGAAGAUUUCCCCCCUGCAAAUUCUAACAUUGACUUAUGUCUUAUGAUGACUAAGUCUUAUGAUUUAAUGAAAAGAAGGGAAGGCACCUUUCAUUUUUACAAACAUAUGAAGAUAUACUGAAGUCCAUUUGCCUGACUUUUCCUUGGAACCAUUUCUAGGUUGAAACCUAGUGAUUUCAUGAGUGCUAGAAGAAAAAAUUAAAAGGAGUGUAUAGUCAUGUUCAGAUGAGAAAUACAGAAUUUUGUGUGAUUGUACUAGACAUUGUAAAUACCAUGUCUCAAUCAUUAUAGGUGCUCAGAUACUAGAAAGAUACUUUAGAUCGGAUUACUUUGUGCUGCGCUUCAUUUCACAGUUUUUUUUUAGUUUUCAGUGUUCUGUACUAUUCUAUUCCUGUUUAUAAAUCUUUUAAGUGUGCACAUUAAAAAAGUAAUUAAAUUGUCAUUAUAAUUUAUAGUAUGUCUGAAGUCAAUCACCUAAUUAAACGGAAAGAGCAGAGAGGUAGUAGGUUCAUAAGCAUUUAUUAAGUACUACAGUAUUAAUUAUGCAGGGCUUUUGAACCAAGCAGAAGAGGAAAGAAUGGAAACACCAAUCUAAAAAGGCUUUCCAUUGCUGCCCUUCUCAAUUUAAUAAUAUGAGACACCCCCCCUAGUUAGUAAUACAACACUAAUGCUUUCUUUUUGUUAAUUUUUAAUGAAAUUAAGAUGGAUUUUUUUUAAUGACGAUCACUUGCAGCAUUUUCCUGUAAUAUUUUUAAAAGAAUAAUAUGUCCCUGUGCAGGGGCCUAUAAAUAUGUGAGUAGAAUUGGAAGAUACAUUUAGAUUUAUGAUUUGGGGUGGAUUGUAAAGGAGCAGACUGCCUUGGUCGUGAUUUCUCGGCGUGCCAGGAACGGGGUGGAACGCGUGCCUGACUCACAUUGCUGCCCUGGAAAAAGUGCUUGGGGACAGUGAAGAGGGGGCUGAGCAGAGGCAGGGGCAGCCAAAAAGAGGAGGCUCUGGGAGGCAGGGGAAAAGGAGGGCACCUGGGAGCUUGGAGGUGAUGCGUAGGGGCACUGUGGUUACAAAGAUGUUUGCUCCCUCUUUGCAUCCUUACUUGCACCUCCAGUUAAACCAGUGUCAUACAGUAAAAAUCAGUGGGUACAAGGGUCUGAUUCUUACAAGCUGGAUGGGUGCAAGCUUCUGACUUGCACCAAAAAUGAGGUCAAGAGGAGGUUUUACAGGACGUUGAGUUGUAUGUUGUAACAUAAGAGAUGAAAGUAUGUUAUAUUAAUGAGCUUGCGAAACAGGGCAAUCUUAUCGUGGUUUGUUUGUAUUUUGCUGUAUCUGAUGAAGAGGAUGGAGCAGAAGCCUUAAAUUUAGAAUUUCUUCUUUUACUGGUUUGUUAAAAAAAAACUAGAAACUUAUAACGCAUCGAAAGCAAAAUCUUUUCAGAGUGCAUAUUUGCUUUCUAUGCUGUUCCUGUGGAUUUCUUUUUCUCCUUGGUGGUCUUCACGUGUGGAUCUUAGAUGUGAAAACUUCUCUCUUGUGUAGCAGGGGGUGACCCCGCAGCUCUGGGCUGAGCCGAAGCAGCCCGCUGGCUUUGCGGGGAGAGAGCGCGAGCGAGCAUCUGGGCUGCUCCUGGGAGCACUGCAGAGAGCCCAGCAUCACCCGCGAUCCCUCAACCUGCACUGAGCAGGACACUGCUGGUAGUUGGCUAUUCAGAUGUGGCCAGUACACAAACAACUGUAAUAAACCAGGAUGAAGACCAGUUAGGUUUUAAACC
This 2959-nucleotide long non-coding RNA is filed under the name Apteryx owenii (little spotted kiwi). RNAcentral's name for it is "lncRNA (ENSAOWG00000015424.1)". The record is from RNAcentral. Lineage: Eukaryota; Metazoa; Chordata; Aves; Apterygiformes; Apterygidae.